AAGUCGUAACAAGGUCUCCGUUGGUGAACCAGCGGAGGGAUCAUUACAGAGUUGCAAAACUCCAAACCCAUGUGAACAUACCUCGUGUUGCCUCGGCGGCGAGCGUAGUGCUCGGGAGGUGCCUACCCGGUACCUACCCUGGAGGACUUGCGCAUCCGCCGGAGGACCACUCAAACUCUUGUUUCUGUGUGGCACAUCUGAGUUAUUAUAUUUAAUAAGUCAAAACUUUCAACAACGGAUCUCUUGGUUCUG
This 252-nucleotide unclassified non-coding RNA is filed under the name Virgaria nigra. Its description in RNAcentral is "partial internal transcribed spacer region". The stretch from base 1 to 46 matches the Rfam family "Eukaryotic small subunit ribosomal RNA", at positions 1786 to 1831 of the family's 1831-position model. Lineage: Eukaryota; Fungi; Ascomycota. The record is from RNAcentral.